RNAcentral lists this ribosomal RNA (257 nucleotides) under uncultured bacterium. RNAcentral describes it as "partial 16S ribosomal RNA". It matches the Rfam family "Bacterial small subunit ribosomal RNA", at positions 336 to 585 of the family's 1533-position model. The record is from RNAcentral.
CUCCUACGGGGCGCAGCAGUGGGGAAUAUUGCGCAAUGGGCGAAAGCCCGACGCAGCGACGCCGCGUGCGGGAUGAAGGUCUUCGGAUCGUAAACCUCUGUCAGCAGGGAAGAACGGUCACUGUGCUAAUCAGCAGUGAAUUGACGGUACCCGCAAAGGAAGCACCGGCUAACUCCGUGUCAGCAGCCGCGGUAAUACGGAGGGUGCGCGCGCUAAUCGGAAUUACUGGGCGUAAAGCGCUCGUAGACGGUCUGUCA